UCUCGUUGAAAGUAUCGAUACCAAAGAAAAAUCUCAGGUUGUUAUCGAUGUAUCGAACCGUAGGCCCGUAGGAUAUACUCAAUUAGUUUUGGUAACUUGACAGGCGCAUUUGUAAUAUACUUUCCGAAGAUGUCUCGAUAAUUAACCACGUGCUUUUUGUUGUGUAUUACUGAAAGAACUGUGGGAAUAUAUUUUACAAAUGGAUCUCGCGACAUUAAACAAAAUCGCUGACAGUGAUUUUCUGCCAACGAAAAAACUUUCCGAAUUCAUAACCGACCAAAACUACAUGGUGUCAAAACUAAGAAGUUUUUCUGCAGACUAGAAGUUCAGCUCUGUUCAAAAACGAAGAAUUCUAUAAUGAAUUAUUGGAUGCUGUAAAUAAGUUUAAAUUAUUCAUAGUAAACAACGGAAAACACAUCAAAUUUUCUUAUGUGAUGUAAAAAAGUAAAAAAAUAAAUUACAAUUUUCUCUAAAA
This is a long non-coding RNA of Copidosoma floridanum, 475 nucleotides long. NCBI's taxonomy places the organism in Eukaryota, Metazoa, Arthropoda, Insecta, Hymenoptera, Encyrtidae. The record is from RefSeq and is a predicted model, not a curated record.